This 350-nucleotide ribosomal RNA is filed under the name uncultured fungus. RNAcentral describes it as "SSU rRNA". It matches the Rfam family "Eukaryotic small subunit ribosomal RNA", at positions 20 to 371 of the family's 1831-position model. Lineage: Eukaryota; Fungi. The record is from RNAcentral.
GUAGUCAUAUGCUUGUCUCAAAGAUUAAGCCAUGCAUGUCUAAGUAUAAGCAAUUUAUACAGUGAAACUGCGAAUGGCUCAUUAAAUCAGUUAUCGUUUAUUUGAUAGUUCCUUUACUACAUGGUAUAACUGUGGUACUUCUAGAGCUAAUACAUGCUUAAAAUCUCGACCUUACGGAAGAGAUGUAUUUAUUAGAUAAAAAAUCAAUGUCUUCGGACUCUUUGAUGAUUCAUAAUAACUUUUCGAAUCGCAUGGCCCUGUGCUGGCGAUGGUUCAUUCAAAUUUCUGCCCUAUCAACUUUCGAUGGUAGGAUAGUGGCCUACCAUGGUUUCAACGGGUAACGGGGAAUG